Molecule: small nucleolar RNA, 52 nt
Filed under: Trypanosoma cruzi
Lineage: Eukaryota; Euglenozoa; Kinetoplastea; Trypanosomatida; Trypanosomatidae
Description: C/D small nucleolar RNA (snoRNA), TB11C2C2, 5' partial
Rfam family: Small nucleolar RNA TBR5
About the family: TBR5 is a member of the C/D class of snoRNA which contain the C (UGAUGA) and D (CUGA) box motifs. Most of the members of the box C/D family function in directing site-specific 2'-O-methylation of substrate RNAs.
Source: RNAcentral
UGGACGUUGACACAGCAAUGAAAACAGCGUUAUUUCACGCCCCGUCUGAUCG